RNAcentral lists this long non-coding RNA (1512 nucleotides) under Helianthus annuus (common sunflower). Lineage: Eukaryota; Viridiplantae; Streptophyta; Magnoliopsida; Asterales; Asteraceae. The record is from RNAcentral.
ACCUUUCUCUACCUCAAAUCAAAACUGUUACUGCUCUUUAUUUCUUUAAUAUUGGACUUUAUUUCUUUCAGUAAUGGUCUUUUAAUACUGCCCUUAUCGACUACCUUGUCAACAUUGGAAUCCACCUUAUUUCAUCAUCGUCAACACCAAAAAGCCAAACAAUGGCAGAUGGUGGAGUUUGAAAAGAAUAAUUGGGACUCUUUGAAUGGCGAUUGAAGUUCAACUGAUACUCAGACCAUGUUGCUUGAAAGAUCCCAAUAAUGAGGUUUUUCAAUACCGGAAACUGUAGAGGGUUCUUUGUUUCCGGCGGUGGAAUGGACGCAUCAAUCACUAGGUUUGAAGAGGGGUUAUCGCAUAUAUGGUCAGCCUAGGGUUAGGAUGAAGAUGCACUGGCACAGGAGACCACUCCAGUCGAUGAUGAGGUAUUUGAAACACGUUGAAAUUACAAAUGAGGGAUUGACGAGUGAAGAAGGGAAUAAGAGGCUUAAUGUAUUGGCCCUAACAAGCUAGAAGAGAACAAGGCUGUUGCAGAGACAACCCUGGGAUUUAUAAAAGAAGCACCAGCUACUAGAAUUACUGGAUUUAAUGUGUACCAUAAAAAAAGUCCCUACUGGAAAGUAACCGGUGAGGGACAUUCGAAAGGGUAUGGGCAUAGUCAGAGUUCUUGAAGCAAAUUUCACAGAACCGGCACACGACAAGCAAGAUUUUUUGUGUUUUUACGGCUGGAAAUGAAGCUAAAAGUCUAAAACAAAUGCAAUUGAAAUACUGCAAGUCAAGUCUUCUAGGAUUGCUUCGGCAGUUUCAAGGCAAAAGGAUGCUGCUGCUGAGUUGGAUAAAGCACCACAAUGUAUCAAGUGAUGCACAUUUCUUAAAUUAACAAGUGUAGUGUGCAGAUUUAGUUUGUUGUGAUGGGCUUCUUUGGAAAUUCAUGGUGAGCAGUUACCGCCAAACAUCCAGAAAGAAAGGAUAUGCAUAAGUUGCUCUGAAUCAGGUUGAAAUAUUUUCAUGUUGCAAGGAGAUUGUUUAAAUAUGACACAUUACAAGGUGUUCAGAAAGAACGAGUCUUGAGGUUAAUGAACUAGAAAGAACAAAGAAUAUCUUACCAAUGGAAAAAAGUGACAACAUGAACUACAAUACUCAUAGGACCGUAUCUCUGAUGGAAAAAAGUGACAGCAUGAAGAAUUCCAAUGCUGCUAAGAUGGUAUCUCAGAUUUAGCUUCCUUAUUUUAGAGGUGGUCUUAUGUUAACAAAUGAGUCAAAACCAGACAUUUUAGAUGUGGUCAUUAUUUUAAGAAAUGAGUCAAAUGAAGUAAUAUUAUAUCUUCUAACCAGACAGAUGGAAAAUUUCUAAACAGACAAGGUCAAAAGGGCCGAAACCUCAUUUGUAAUUUGUAUGCAUAUCCAUGUCCUUUUAUCUAGAUGAUCAUUUAUAUAGUAAAAUGGCACAAGUUGUGUAAAGUCAUUAUUUAAAGCUCAAAUUGAGAAAGUGAUUAUACUUUGAGAGGUAAUUAG